CCCACUUAAAUUCCUGACGUCCUCGUCAGGCCGAAACGGAUAGCCCAUAGGCCCAGAUCGAACCUCUCUAGCCAUUGUGGGAUAAUACCGGCUGGCUUCGUGUCCCCGCCUCCGGAUCUCUGUCCAUUGCGGGAUAAUACCACCAGCCUUCGUGUCCCCACCUCCGGCAACUUGACGAAUCAAGCUUUCGAGAGCCUGCUCUGAAUACCAUAUGUGACAACCCGGGUCAAAUCCCGAGUCUUUUUCGAAAAUCGGGUCAAGUCCCGAAAUCCGAAUCCGAAAAUAAGCCCAAAUAUACUGGCCCAAUUGCAACAACUUGGGUAAUCCACAAGCCCACCACAGGCCCCCAAAAGAUCAUGAUUUGU
Molecule: long non-coding RNA, 365 nt
Filed under: Daucus carota (carrot)
Lineage: Eukaryota; Viridiplantae; Streptophyta; Magnoliopsida; Apiales; Apiaceae
Description: long non-coding RNA (DCAR_LNC000341)
Source: RNAcentral